This 66-nucleotide transfer RNA is filed under the name Sibylla pretiosa. RNAcentral describes it as "tRNA-His". The record is from RNAcentral. Lineage: Eukaryota; Metazoa; Arthropoda; Insecta; Mantodea; Hymenopodidae.
ACUUAAGUAGUUUAAAUAGUAAAAUUAUGAUUUGUGGUAUCAUAGAUAUAAAUAUUAUCUUAGGUU